Non-coding RNA from Podarcis muralis (Common wall lizard), 1859 nucleotides. The record is from RefSeq and is a predicted model, not a curated record. NCBI's taxonomy places the organism in Eukaryota, Metazoa, Chordata, Lepidosauria, Squamata, Lacertidae.
UGUUGAGAGAGGCAGUGUGGUAGAAUAACCAGGCUGCUUGGAUUUGGCUUGGCUUUGUUUUGGAAUAUCUGUACAGAACGAUCAUUUCAGGGGAAGAGAUUCUGAUGUAGCCAAAACAGCAGCACCUGCAAACAAGAGGGAAGGUGUCAGCAGGCUUGGGGAAACACCAAGGUUUGAAGGAGUACAAAAUUGUCUUCGGUUUAGGGAGGGAACUAGGCUGGGGAACUCCUCACAAAGCACAGUGAGAACUGAGCGUACACGGAAAAGUGUGUGACUGAGCAGGGGAGUGAAAAUGGAAUGGUAUUGCAGAAUCGUAGCGUUGGAAGGGACCACGAGGGUCAUCUAGUCCAACCCCCUGCAAUACAGGGAUCUUUUGCUCAAGGUAGGACUCGAACGCACAACCCUGAGAUUAAGAGUCUCAGGCUCUGCUAUCAGGAAUAAGGCAUGACUGGCUGUAACCCUAAGCAGAACUGAUGCAGGUUCUACUUACGUAUAUCCCAAUAUUUUCCAUUCAUUUCGUGUCUCCUGUUCUGCGGAAUCAGCAGGGGAACAUCAUCCCAGAUUCAUACUUCUAAACUCUUAGGUCAAUCUGUGGCAAGGAAUACCAUAUAGCAGGCAUGUGCUCAGGGUGUGAUUUGUGAAUAAAACAAGCCCAAGCAAGAAUGCUGCCAGAACGAGGGUCGGGCACAAGUUGGGGCCAAUCUCUCUCAACUUUCUGUUUUAAACUUGCUGGAACGUUCUGCAUGUUGCAGCGUGCCACCGCUCUGCCUUAUCACUGCUCUGCUACUUUUAGGAUGCAUAAUCUUUCUGUGUGACCAGAGAGGUGUGGGAGAGGAACGUCCCUUGAACUUAAAGUGAAAAGGCCCACCGAUCUGGCUGUGUUUCCCUGGAGCUAAGGGACUAAGGAGCAGGAGAAAGGUGACAGGCAGUGCUGCCCCCUAGACUAAGGUUGAGCCUAGGUGGAAACACAGCUUACAGACUCUAACAGACAGCUAAAGUCCACUGUUCUGGCAUCAGAUCUCCAGGGAGACACAGUGGGCACCCGAAGAUCUCUACUCAACUCAGUUUGUUGCUGUUGAUGUGUCUCAUUCAAACAGCAAUCUUCUUAGUUUCCUCUCUCACACAGUUACCUUCCUGCACCCAACUCACACCUCCUACUAGAGGGUAUUGGAAAGUGGAUGAGUCACUUCAUCGAACUAUCACUUAAUCUUCUUGGACCUUCUUAGGUUUUCCAUGAAAACCUGCCUCCUAAAUAUCAGGGCCAUCAACACGUUUUUGGGUCAGAUUUAAGGUCCUGCAAACACCAUACAUUUAAUGUACUUUUAUAGCACAUGACUCCCCCCCCCCAAAGAAUCCUGGGACCUGUAGUUUAUCCUUCCUAGCACCUUUAACAACCUACAGUUCCUGGAAUCCUUUGGGAGGGGAGUCAUGUUUGGGAAAUCAAAACUAGCCUUAAUGUGUGUGCCAAAGUGAUCAGGUCUGAGAUGGCCACAGAAUCUUUAUUUGCAAGGGGAUGGAAAACAACCAUUAAAGUUCCAAAGCUCUAUUUCCUAACCAAACUUUUACACAGCUAGGGCAUCCUCUCUCUUAUGGAGAGCUUAUGGCAUGGUUUGCAGGAACAGGGUAGUAAGCAAUUUUUGGUGAUUCACCAUCCCACUUAAACCUGUUCUAGGGGAUUGGGAGGGUGGUUGCAGGGGAAAUCACAGAAAUUGCUUCCUUUAAUGGUCCACUAACAGAAGCCAUACAACUAGCUGAGCUGUACUAUUGGACACAACCCAUUGGGACUUACUUCUAUAGUCUUAAAAUCAGCAGUUUUAGUUAUCUGGUGAAUUUGAUUUUAGGCGUGUCUCUGCCAGAAA